Molecule: long non-coding RNA, 1004 nt
Organism: Anthonomus grandis grandis
Lineage: Eukaryota; Metazoa; Arthropoda; Insecta; Coleoptera; Curculionidae
Exons: 4
Source: RefSeq, a predicted model, not a curated record
CAAAUAAAUAAUGUCCUCUCUUUAAAAAUAUAGAAAUACAGUCCACAAAGUACUGGCUUAUUUUAUUAAGCAUCACAAUAAGAGAAAAUAAAGGAGGUAUCUAUUGCCCCCAGCAAGUUUACAAAGUAUGUGGCUUACAGACGGUAAUUACCGGGUAUUACGUUGAGGGAUUUGAUAAUCGACAACUACUGUGCCUUUUCAAACUAUAUCCCCACGUUACAUCUCAGAUGAAAUAUUUUUUUGGUAAAAUGUUUAUAUGGGCUACUUAAUGGCUUGAUGAACAAGAAUAUCGCCAGUAUAUCUUUUUUGGAUACAAUACAAGAUAUCCUUAAAUCUCCUUUUUACCAAGGCCUCGCUUCAAUAUAUUGUGAUCGGUUUUAUAUGCGGACUGGAAUCAGUAUGUAACAUAAUAUACAAGAAUUGGUCAGACGUAUUCAGAGAGAAUAUACUUCAAGCUUAUUAUUGUAAACAACACCGACUUGAAUAUACAUCAAGCAAGCAAGAUAUUUGUUGUUAAUGAAAUGUUAACUACAUAACAAUAAAUACCUACUUUGAUAUGGUUGAAUAGAAUUGCAAAUAGGAUCAAAUAAGAACUUAUACCGAAGCUAAGGCAGAGGAUCAGACAAUAGAGUAGCCUGCGAGAUCACCAGAUUUGACACCGCUUCUAGAUGAAUGCAGGUGAAUUGGCAAUAGGGGUCCUAUUAAGUGGCCAUCCCGCUUUCCAUCUAUGAAGCCAAUGGAUGUUUUUGUCUGGGAUUAUUAUAAGGAUAUUGUUUAUCAACGACCAUCCAAUAAUCCUGAAGAGGUUAAGAAUCGAAUUUGUGAAGCCCGUCGAACAAUUACUGCAGCUUGCACAAGGGAAAUCUUUCGGCGAUAUGAAGCUUGUGUGGAAGCUAAUAAAGCUCAAUUUAAACAUUUAAUUAAAUAAUAGAUUUAAAUUUUGUAAAAUACAUUAAUAUGAUGUUAAAAUAUCUUAUAAAAAAUAAAUUGAAUUUAAAGAGAAA